CUACCUCAUCCCCAUAUUGUUUUAAUUUACUUUUCUGCUCUUUUGCACACCAGUAUUUCUACUUUCACAUCAUCAUCUGCUAUUUAGCACUUCAGUGUUCAUUUGCUAAAUUUGUGUGAACGGGCCUGUGCUCCGUAGCGUCUUGGUGUUUCUGCUGUUGGGUGUCUCCUACACUAAGCGCAGGUGCAACUAUUCGGAGAUACUCGGCUCAUACAGAGAACUCAUCUUCGUUGAACUUCAGAAUUUGAAUCUGACUGGCAAUUUUGACACAUCCAAAGAGAGGGACCGUUGUCCCUCAGGAAAGGUGCAGCACGUUUUGCGCUCCAUCCAUGGUAUGACUCAGCAGUUCCUGUGCCAGGGCCGCAGGCAGGGCAUUAGACAACAGGGGGGCAUGGAGAAGCCAGUGGAGAUGAUGGAACAGCUGAUCAGACAGAACUGCAAACACACUGACCUGGUGAGAAGACAGAAGAGAGCUGCCCCGUGUGUGACUUCCCAGAGAACGAAGGGAAAGAAGAAGAAGAGGAUAAGACUCAUCAGAGCACUGAUAGACUGUUGGCAGAAGCUGCAGAGUGUGUACUUGCCCACAAAAUGAAUGGGAAAUACUAUGUUUUUCAUUUUCCCAAUUGUUUAAAAAAGAGCCUGUAUGGAUUGUGUUUAAUUUGGUUCUCAUUUUGUAUAGUAGAACCACAUUUGUAUGUCAGGGAUGGUGCUCUCUGUUUAUGGCCUUUCUUCUUAUACUGUAGUUCCUCAUCUAUAAACUACAGCGCACAAUAGAUCAUCUGAAUUAAAGGUAGACUCAGCGAUAUGACGUAGAUGCAGAAAGUAAACAGCGUGAAGCAAACCCGUGCACAUGGACAGAUACUGUGUCUGACAGCGUGAGAGCGAAAUGCUGCAUCUCUCAUCUCAAUAUCUCCGGUGUUGCUCGAGGCGAUGACAUUUUGCUGACUCUACCUUUAAUAAUGGUUGUUAGAGGAUGGUAUACAAUGCAAUUAAAAUAUUUACUUGUAAUAGUUUGUGCACACACAUAAAAAAUAUAUUAUCUCAUAAUCCAGAGAUUGCGAUCCUUUUUCUUAAACAUAUUUGGUGCUGUUCUAUAAAAUUAAUCAGUUAUUCAAGCUGCCCACAGCUAAUAAAGGUUUCUCAAACUGCA
RNAcentral lists this long non-coding RNA (1150 nucleotides) under Salmo salar (Atlantic salmon). RNAcentral's name for it is "lncRNA (ENSSSAG00000118269.1, ENSSSAG00020067406.1)". Lineage: Eukaryota; Metazoa; Chordata; Actinopteri; Salmoniformes; Salmonidae. The record is from RNAcentral.